Molecule: ribosomal RNA, 252 nt
Filed under: uncultured bacterium
Lineage: Bacteria
Description: partial 16S ribosomal RNA
Rfam family: Bacterial small subunit ribosomal RNA
Source: RNAcentral
UACGUAGGUGGCAAGCGUUAUCCGGAAUGAUUGGGCGUAAAGGGUGCGCAGGCGGAACCAUAAGUCUGAAGUAAAAGCCAUCGGCUCAACCGAUGUAAGCUUUGGAAACUGUGGAUCUGGAGUGCAGGAGAGGACAGUGGAAUUCCAUGUGUAGCGGUAAAAUGCGUGGAUAUAUGGAGGAACACCAGUGGCGAGGGCGGCUGUCUGGCCUGUAACUGACGCUGAGGCACGAAAGCGUGGGGAGCAAAUAGG